UACGCUUCACAUGACCAAACCACUUCAAUCUCCCUUCUCUCAACUUAUUUUAGGAAUCGAAACUCGAAUCAGAACUAAAACCGAAGCAUCGAGAACCAAAUAGAAACUUGAAGAACAUAUUUGGAACCAUGCCAAAAGUUUAGUUCGAUUUUGGUGCCUAGAUUUUGGUGCUUAGGCAGAACUGAACUGGAACCGCACACCCCUUAUAAUGACCACUGUUCUGGCCAACAGGCCAAGUCAAAUAUGGUUUUGUAGUCACUCUCAAAUGAUGGGCUUUUUGCCCUCUCAAAUACCAUGGAUGAGAGACGCCAAAUGGAUUAGAUAUUGUAUCCUAAAACAACAGUAAGCUGGGAGCUGUUAUGGCAGAACCAUAACCUAG
Molecule: unclassified non-coding RNA, 379 nt
Filed under: Hevea brasiliensis (rubber tree)
Lineage: Eukaryota; Viridiplantae; Streptophyta; Magnoliopsida; Malpighiales; Euphorbiaceae
Source: RNAcentral